AUUCCAGCUCCAAUAGCGUAUACUAAAGUUGUUGCAGUUAAAAAGCUCGUAGUUGAAUUUCUGGUCUCGGACAGCGGUCUGCCUCAAACGAGGUACGCACCACCUGUUCAGGUCCAUCCUCGGAGAAAACAUGCCUGUGAUUCAGUUCAUGGGUAUGGGAUCUUCGUCAUUUACUGUGAGCAAAAUAUAGUGUUCAAAGCAGGCUUAUGCCGUUGAAUACAUUAGCAUGGAAUAAUAAAAUAAGACCUUGGUCUAUUUUGUUGGUUUGUACUCUAAGGUAAUGAUUAAUAGGGAUAGUUGGGGGUAUUCGUAUUCAAUUGUCAGAGGUGAAAUUCUUGGAUUUAUGGAAGACGAACUACUGCGAAAGCAUUUACCAAGGAUGUUUUCAUUA
This 391-nucleotide ribosomal RNA is filed under the name Chrysophyceae sp. Its description in RNAcentral is "partial small subunit ribosomal RNA". It matches the Rfam family "Eukaryotic small subunit ribosomal RNA", at positions 582 to 975 of the family's 1831-position model. Lineage: Eukaryota; Chrysophyceae. The record is from RNAcentral.